CAAUGAAGUGUUCAAUGGCACUUUAAAUCCAUUACCCACCUUGUGUGCAUUGUCAGGAGGAAGAUCCCUUGGGAUUUUUCUCUUUUUCAUUCCACUCUUUUUUUUUUAACAUCAGUCUACAUCAAUUGAGAAUUAAAAAUCUCUAAUA
RNAcentral lists this unclassified non-coding RNA (148 nucleotides) under soil metagenome. Its description in RNAcentral is "partial internal transcribed spacer 1". The record is from RNAcentral.